Beta vulgaris subsp. vulgaris (sugar beet) is the source of this 1613-nucleotide long non-coding RNA. RefSeq lists it as uncharacterized. The record is from RefSeq and is a predicted model, not a curated record. NCBI's taxonomy places the organism in Eukaryota, Viridiplantae, Streptophyta, Magnoliopsida, Caryophyllales, Amaranthaceae. The transcript has 3 exons.
UAAGAAUACUACUCCUCCCUGCGCUUAAAAUUUUAGGGCAAAUUAAAUAAUAAUUAAAAAUAAAAAAAUCCCCCCACUUUCGCUCACAAACUGCACGCCUAGCCCUAACUAAGAGAAACUGCGCUGGUAGUUAACGAAACCCUAUAAUCAUCUUCUUCUCGAUUCGCUCAUCAAUUGCUCGCCAUAAGCGUCUUCUUCAUCAGGUAUGCCUUUUUCUCUUUUUUUUUCGUUCCAAUUUUUCGAAUUUCUCAAUUCGCUCAUCAAUUGCUCCUUUUCUUUUUUCGUUCCAAGUCUUCGAAUUUCGCUCACAAAUUGCAAAGUUGCGAGAAUUUGAGUUGUAUAACGGAAUUCUCUGAAAUUUCAAUAAAAUUAUUCUUGUUUGCCAUCGUCUUCUGCAUCAGGGUUCGAAUAAGGCCGGUGAGUAGAGAAAGGAGGUUCAGAAAGAGACGAAUUUGUCGUGCUUGUAAUUGUUUCCCAUGAAAGUUAUGUAGAUAGGAUAAAGCUAUCAGAGUCUAAUCUCGUAAUAAAUUCAAUGAGCUAGUUUGCUAAAUUUUAGGUGCAUACAAGAUCAAAGGCAUCAAAUGCUCAUGCGAAUUUUACCACGGACAAUGGUGUGGCUGGAAUAUUGUUUUCAAGAUAGGAAAGAUUUGUCUUCUGAUUAUUUAUGAUGGUAUUACUGUGGCUACUGCUUUCCAUGUGAGAUCUGACCCAUAAUUGCCUCCCACAGGUUCAUCUUCAAUAUGUUACUCCAUUGUCCGAGUUAUUGCCAUGUUAAAAGUGUAAUUUAAACUGAUGAUAUGACAAUGUGAUCCAAUCAGGGGUAGUGUGCAGAUUAUUUUCAUAUAUUAAAUGGACAAGACACCCUUAUAAUUUGCCAAUAUGUUGAAAUUAUAGUGUUGCUUUGUUUGGCUUCAAUAAAGUCCCCUGUUGGUUUUAGACAUGCAUAUUAAUCGUAAGCAUAUGAAAUUGAUUGAGAGAGAUUCAGGGGGUGCCUCUACCAUGAUUAUGUUGAUGAGAAAGUUUUGAUGUAUGGUGAUAUCUACUUAAUGGGCACAUAUGAUUAUUAUGAUCUCUAGUUCUAGGUAGAGACUGGUUGUGACAAUGUUUUUAGUAUUCCCAGUUUUAUUUGGUAGGAUAAGUUUUUAUUGUAAGUCGAACCUUGGGCAGCAGGGCAGUUAUAUGAGAGGAAAAAUUUGAACAACCUUCUGUAAAUUAUGAACGUUAUAGAGUUCGUCUUUCUAGUCUAAUUUAUUUUCUGCUCGUGUUACCUAUUUUUUUGGGAUAUAUUAUAUGUGCUAAUUAUAAUUUUGGUCUUAUUUUUCAUCUUUUGAAGGUACUCGAAAAUAAUAAUAAAGGUCUAACAGAUAAGAAUAAGAGGGCACUACUUGAGGCUUCAAAUUGGCUACCAUCAUUGUUUUGCUAAAUCUUAGUAUUAGUUAGCUUUGUAAGGCUACAACUACAUUUUUAGUGUGUUUUAAUUUGUAGUAUUUUUAGAAACAUAUUAGUUAUGAAGUAUUAUUAAUGAACGUGUGUAGGGAUUUUAAUUGUAUGAACUACGUUUAUGAUUUAUCAUUUAUGAUAAUAUAUACAAAGUUCGAAGUAUUUUUAUGUAA